RNAcentral lists this non-coding RNA (30 nucleotides) under Rattus norvegicus (Norway rat). The record is from RNAcentral. Lineage: Eukaryota; Metazoa; Chordata; Mammalia; Rodentia; Muridae.
UGGUAAACAGCUCGCUUGGGGUUUCCCACC